RNAcentral lists this ribosomal RNA (980 nucleotides) under uncultured Bacteroidota bacterium. RNAcentral describes it as "bacterial SSU rRNA". It matches the Rfam family "Bacterial small subunit ribosomal RNA", at positions 9 to 987 of the family's 1533-position model. The record is from RNAcentral. Lineage: Bacteria; Pseudomonadati; Bacteroidota.
GAGUUUGAUCCUGGCUCAGGAUGAACGCUAGCGGCAGGCCUAAUACAUGCAAGUCGAGGGAGAAGUUGGGUGCUUGCACUUGAUGGGAACCGGCGAACGGGUGCGUAACACGUAUGCAACCUACUUAUAACUGGGGGAUAGCCCGAAGAAAUUCGGAUUAAUACCCUAUAAUAAUUAGAUCUCACAUGGGAUUUACUUUAAAACUCCGGUGGUUAUAGAUGGGCAUGCGGUCUAUUAGCUAGUUGGUAAGGUAACGGCUUACCAAGGCGACGAUAGAUAGGGGGUCUGAGAGGAUGAUCCCCCACACUGGUACUGAGACACGGACCAGACUCCUACGGGAGGCAGCAGUAGGGAAUAUUGGACAAUGGACGCAAGUCUGAUCCAGCCAUGCCGCGUGCAGGAAGACGGCCCUAUGGGUUGUAAACUGCUUUUAUAUAGGAAGAAACCUCACCACGCGUGGUGGGCUGACGGUACUAUAAGAAUAAGGACCGGCUAACUCCGUGCCAGCAGCCGCGGUAAUACGGAGGGUCCAAGCGUUGUCCGGAUUUAUUGGGUUUAAAGGGUACGUAGGCGGGACUUUAAGUCAGUGGUGAAAGCCUCCAGCUUAACUGGAGAAUUGCCAUUGAAACUGAAGUUCUUGAAUAUGGAUGAGGUGGUUGGAAUAUAACAUGUAGCGGUGAAAUGCUUAGAUAUGUUAUAGAACACCAAUUGCGAAGGCAGAUCACUAAACCAUUAUUGACGCUGAGGUACGAAAGCGUGGGGAGCGAACAGGAUUAGAUACCCUGGUAGUCCACGCCGUAAACGAUGUUCACUCGCUGUUGGCGAUAUACAGUCAGCGGCCAAGCGAAAGCAUUAAGUGAACCACCUGGGGAGUACGAUCGCAAGGUUGAAACUCAAAGGAAUUGACGGGGGCCCGCACAAGCGGUGGAGCAUGUGGAUUAAUUCGAUGAUACGCGAGGAACCUUACCAAGGCUUAAAUG